GCACAAGGCAUAAACAAGAGCAGGCUACACACCGCCAAGUUACCAUGUGAGUAGUUUAACAAUCUGGCGCUGAUGAGGUGAACAGCCCGGGUAGAUAUACUGCAGAGGUGAGUAGUGGAAUGAGCUGCAGCUGUUGGGAGCAGAGCUGUAGAG
Long non-coding RNA from Etheostoma spectabile (orangethroat darter), 153 nucleotides. RefSeq lists it as uncharacterized. The record is from RefSeq and is a predicted model, not a curated record. The transcript is spliced from 3 exons. Lineage: Eukaryota; Metazoa; Chordata; Actinopteri; Perciformes; Percidae.